GACGAACGCUGGCGGCGUGCUUAACACAUGCAAGUCGAACGGAAAGGCCCUGCUUUUGUGGGGUGCUCGAGUGGCGAACGGGUGAGUAACACGUGAGUAACCUGCCCUUGACUUUGGGAUAACUUCAGGAAACUGGGGCUAAUACCGGAUAGGAGCUCCUGCUGCAUGGUGGGGGUUGGAAAGUUUCGGCGGUUGGGGAUGGACUCGCGGCUUAUCAGCUUGUUGGUGGGGUAGUGGCUUACCAAGGCUUUGACGGGUAGCCGGCCUGAGAGGGUGACCGGCCACAUUGGGACUGAGAUACGGCCCAGACUCCUACGGGAGGCAGCAGUGGGGAAUAUUGCACAAUGGGCGGAAGCCUGAUGCAGCAACGCCGCGUGCGGGAUGACGGCCUUCGGGUUGUAAACCGCUUUCGCCUGUGACGAAGCGUGAGUGACGGUAAUGGGUAAAGAAGCACCGGCUAACUACGUGCCAGCAGCCGCGGUGAUACGUAGGGUGCGAGCGUUGUCCGGAUUUAUUGGGCGUAAAGGGCUCGUAGGUGGUUGAUCGCGUCGGAAGUGUAAUCUUGGGGCUUAACCCUGAGCGUGCAUUCGAUACGGGUUGACUUGAGGAAGGUAGGGGAGAAUGGAAUUCCUGGUGGAGCGGUGGAAUGCGCAGAUAUCAGGAGGAACACCAGUGGCGAAGGCGGUUCUCUGGGCCUUUCCUGACGCUGAGGAGCGAAAGCGUGGGGAGCGAACAGGCUUAGAUACCCUGGUAGUCCACGCUGUAAACGGUGGGUACUAGGUGUGGGGUCCAUUCCACGGGUUCCGUGCCGUAGCUAACGCUUUAAGUACCCCGCCUGGGGAGUACGGCCGCAAGGCUAAAACUCAAAGGAAUUGACGGGGCCCCGCACAAGCGGCGGAGCAUGCGGAUUAAUUCGAUGCAACGCGUAGAACCUUACCUGGGUUUGACAUGGAUCGGGAGUGCUCAGAGAUGGGUGUGCCUCUUUUGGGGUCGGUUCACAGGUGGUGCAUGGCUGUCGUCAGCUCGUGUCGUGAGAUGUUGGGUUAAGUCCCGCAACGAGCGCAACCCUUGUUCACUGUUGCCAGCACGUUAUGGUGGGGACUCAGUGGAGACCGCCGGGGUCAACUCGGAGGAAGGUGGGGAUGACGUCAAGUCAUCAUGCCCCUUAUGUCCAGGGCUUCACGCAUGCUACAAUGGCUGGUACAGAGAGUGGCGAGCCUGUGAGGGUGAGCGAAUCUCGGAAAGCCGGUCUCAGUUCGGAUUGGGGUCCGCAACUCGACCUCAUGAAGUCGGAGUCGCUAGUAAUCGCAGAUCAGCAACGCUGCGGUGAAUACGUUCCCGGG
RNAcentral lists this ribosomal RNA (1343 nucleotides) under uncultured bacterium. RNAcentral describes it as "16S ribosomal RNA". It matches the Rfam family "Bacterial small subunit ribosomal RNA", at positions 28 to 1378 of the family's 1533-position model. The record is from RNAcentral.